UAUUAAUUAGAUUAAGAGGAACUCACCAUUAAAAGAGGCUAUCAACAACUUGUCUCUCUCUCUCUCUCUCUCUCUAUAUAUAUAUAUAGAGUCCAGCUAUGGUGCUUGUAAAAGUACCAAGCACUUGGUGCUUGUAAGUUUUUUACCUUUAGAUCUAUUCCUCGGAUCAUUUUCAACCAUUAGAUUAUACUAUUCAACCAACCACCCACUAAACCCUAGACGGCCUAAUCAUUCUAACCACACAUCUCUUAAUCCAAUGGCUAAAAAUCUACAAGCACCAAUAACUUGGUACUUUUAAAAGCAUAGGAGCUCAAUUCUAUAUAUAUAUAGAGAGAGAGA
RNAcentral lists this long non-coding RNA (339 nucleotides) under Ananas comosus (pineapple). Its description in RNAcentral is "long non-coding RNA (ACOM_LNC010304)". The record is from RNAcentral. Lineage: Eukaryota; Viridiplantae; Streptophyta; Magnoliopsida; Poales; Bromeliaceae.